This 740-nucleotide ribosomal RNA is filed under the name uncultured Aquimarina sp. RNAcentral's name for it is "bacterial SSU rRNA". It matches the Rfam family "Bacterial small subunit ribosomal RNA", at positions 770 to 1533 of the family's 1533-position model. The record is from RNAcentral. Lineage: Bacteria; Pseudomonadati; Bacteroidota; Flavobacteriia; Flavobacteriales; Flavobacteriaceae.
UAACAGGAUUAGAUACCCUGGUAGUCCACGCCCUAAACGAUGAUCACUAGCUAUUGGAAAAACGAUAUUCAGUGGCUUAGCGAAAGCGAUAAGUGAUCCACCUGGGAAGUACAGUCGCAAGAUUGAAACUCAAAGGAAUUGACGGGGGUUCGCACAAGCGGUGGAGCAUGUGGUUUAAUUCGAUGAUACGCGAGGAACCUUACCAAGGCUUAAAUGUAUUACGAAUAAGCUGGAAACAGUUUAGUCUGUAUGACGUAUUACAAGGUGCUGCAUGGUUGUCUUCAGUUCGUGCUGUGAAGUGUUUGGUUAAGUCCUAUAACGAGCGCAACCCCUAUUGUUAGUUGCCAUCGGGUAAAGCCGGGGACUCUAACAAAACUGCCGGUGUAAACUGUGAGGAAGGUGGGGAUGAUGUCAAAUCAUCAUGGCCUCUAUGUCUUGGGCUACACACGUGCUACAAUGGCUGGGUUACAAAGGGUCGCCACUGGGUGACCAGGAGCUAAUCCUUAAAACCGGUCUAAGUUCGGAUUGGAGUCUGCAAUUCGACUCUAUGAAGCCGGAAUCGCUAGUAAUCGCACAUCAGCAAUGGUGCGGUGAAUAUGUUCUCGGACCUUGUACACACCGCCCGUCAAGCCAUGGGAGUCGGGAGUACCUGAAGUCAGUAAUCCUUCAGGGGUCUGCCUAAGGUAGACUUGAUGACUAGGGCUAAGUCGUAACAAGGUAACCAAUCGAAUUCCCGCGGC